GAUGAACGCUGGCGGCGUGCCUAAUACAUGCAAGUCGAGCGAACGGACGAGAAGCUUGCUUCUCUGAUGUUAGCGGCGGACGGGUGAGUAACACGUGGAUAACCUACCCAUAAGACUGGGAUAACUUCGGGAAGCCGGAGCUAAUACCGGAUAAUAUUUUGAACCGCAUGGUUCAAAAGUGAAAGACGGUCUUGCUGUCACUUAUAGAUGGAUCCGCGCUGCAUUAGCUAGUUGGUAAGGUAACGGCUUACCAAGGCAACGAUGCAUAGCCGACCUGAGAGGGUGAUCGGCCACACUGGAACUGAGACACGGUCCAGACUCCUACGGGAGGCAGCAGUAGGGAAUCUUCCGCAAUGGGCGAAAGCCUGACGGAGCAACGCCGCGUGAGUGAUGAAGGUCUUCGGAUCGUAAAACUCUGUUAUUAGGGAAGAACAUAUGUGUAAGUAACUGUGCACAUCUUGACGGUACCUAAUCAGAAAGCCACGGCUAACUACGUG
Molecule: ribosomal RNA, 497 nt
Filed under: uncultured bacterium
Lineage: Bacteria
Description: partial 16S ribosomal RNA
Rfam family: Bacterial small subunit ribosomal RNA
Source: RNAcentral